CCUAGGGCGGCUGCAGUGGGGAAUAUUGGACAAUGGGCGAAAGCCUGAUCCAGCCAUGCCGCGUGUGUGAAGAAGGCCUUCGGGUUGUAAAGCACUUUCAGUGGGGAAGAAAGCCUUGGGGCUAAUACCCUCGAGGAAGGACAUCACCCACAGAAGAAGCACCGGCUAACUCCGUGCCAGCAGCCGCGGUAAUACGGAGGGUGCGAGCGUUAAUCGGAAUUACUGGGCGUAAAGCGCGCGUAGGCGGUCUGAUAAGCCGGUUGUGAAAGCCCCGGGCUCAACCUGGGAACGGCAUCCGGAACUGUCAGGCUAGAGUGCAGGAGAGGAAGGUAGAAUUCCCGGUGUAGCGGUGAAAUGCGUAGAGAUCGGGAGGAAUACCAGUGGCGAAGGCGGCCUUCUGGACUGACACUGACGCUGAGGUGCGAAAGCGUGGGUAGCAAACAGGAUUAGAUACCCUUGUAGUC
Molecule: ribosomal RNA, 464 nt
Filed under: Vreelandella stevensii
Lineage: Bacteria; Pseudomonadati; Pseudomonadota; Gammaproteobacteria; Oceanospirillales; Halomonadaceae
Description: partial 16S ribosomal RNA
Rfam family: Bacterial small subunit ribosomal RNA
Source: RNAcentral